This 2034-nucleotide ribosomal RNA is filed under the name wastewater metagenome. RNAcentral describes it as "bacterial LSU rRNA". It matches the Rfam family "Bacterial large subunit ribosomal RNA", at positions 3 to 2072 of the family's 2925-position model. The record is from RNAcentral.
UCAAGUAAUUAAGUGCAUGUGGUGGAUGCCUUGGCAGUCAGAGGCGAUGAAAGACGUGAUAGCCUGCGAAAAGCUCCGGGGAGGCGGCAAAUAUCCUGUGAUCCGGAGAUGUCUGAAUGGGGAAACCCACUUACCAUAAGGUAGGUAUUGCAUGAUGAAUACAUAGUCAUGCAAGGCGAACGAGGGGAAGUGAAACAUCUCAGUACCCUUAGGAAAAGAAAUCAAUUGAGAUUCCCUCAGUAGCGGCGAGCGAAAGGGGAAGAGCCCAUUAAGUCAUAUAAGUUCUAGUGGAACGCUCUGGGAAGUGCGACCGUAGACGGUGAUAGUCCUGUACACGAAAGGGCUUAUAUGAUGAUGUCGAGUAGGGCGAGGCACGUGAAACCUUGUCUGAAUAUGGGGGGACCAUCCUCCAAGGCUAAAUACUCCUGACUGACCGAUAGUGAACCAGUACCGUGAGGGAAAGGCGAAAAGAACCCCUGUGAGGGGAGUGAAAUAGAUCCUGAAACCGCAUGCAUACAAGCAGUGGGAGCCGACUUGUUCGGUGACUGCGUACCUUUUGUAUAAUGGGUCAGCGACUUACAUUCAGUAGCGAGGUUAACCGUAUAGGGGAGCCGUAGGGAAACCGAGUCUUAAUAGGGCGUUUAGUUGCUGGGUGUAGACCCGAAACCGGGUGAUCUAUCCAUGAGCAGGUUGAAGGUUGGGUAACACUAACUGGAGGACCGAACCCACUGUCGUUGAAAAGCCAGGGGAUGACUUGUGGAUAGGGGUGAAAGGCUAAUCAAACUCGGUGAUAGCUGGUUCUCCCCGAAAGCUAUUUAGGUAGCGCCUCGGACGAAUACCAUUGGGGGUAGAGCACUGUUUCGGCUAGGGGGUCAUCCCGACUUACCAAACCGAUGCAAACUCCGAAUACCAAUGAGUACUAUCCGGGAGACAGACUGCGGGUGCUAACGUCCGUAGUCAAGAGGAAAACAAUCCAGACCGCCAGCUAAGGCCCCAAAAUUAUAGUUAAGUGGGAAACGAUGUGGGAAGGCAUAGACAGCUAGGAGGUUGGCUUAGAAGCAGCCACCCUUUAAAGAAAGCGUAAUAGCUCACUAGUCGAGUCGGCCUGCGCGGAAGAUGUAACGGGGCUAAAACUAUAUGCCGAAGCUGCGGAUGCAUAAUUUAUUAUGCGUGGUAGGGGAGCGUUCUGUAAGCCGAUGAAGGUGGAUUGAGAAGUCUGCUGGAGGUAUCAGAAGUGCGAAUGCUGACGUGAGUAACGACAAUGCGAGUGAAAAACUCGCACGCUGAAAGACCAAGGGUUCCAGUCCAACGUUAAUCGGGGCUGGGUGAGUCGACCCCUAAGGCGAGGCCGAGAGGCGUAGUCGAUGGGAAAUUGGUUAAUAUUCCAAUACUUCUGUGUAAUGCGAUGAGAGGACGGAGAAGGUUAAGUCAGCCUGGCGUUGGUUGUCCAGGUGAAAGGUUGUAGGCAUGCAUCUUAGGCAAAUCCGGGGUGCUCUAUGCUGAGAACUGAUAGCAAGCUGUACUUGUACAGUGAAGUGGCUGAUACCAUGCUUCCAGGAAAAGUCUCUAAGCUUCAGUUACACAGGAAUCGUACCCGAAACCGACACAGGUGGUCAGGUCGAGUAGACCAAAGCGCUUGAGAGAACUCUGCUGAAGGAACUAGGCAAAAUGGUACCGUAACUUCGGGAGAAGGUACGCUGCUUUUGGUGAUGGAACUUGCUUCCUGAGCUGAGAGCAGCCACAGAAACCAGGCCCCUGCAACUGUUUAUUAAAAACAUAGCACUCUGCAAACACGAAAGUGGACGUAUAGGGUGUGAUGCCUGCCCGGUGCUGGAAGGUUAAUUGAUGGGGUUAGCGUAAGCGAAGCUCUUGAUCGAAGCUCCAGUAAACGGCGGCGGUAACUAUAACGGUCCUAAGGUAGCGAAAUUCCUUGUCGGGUAAGUUCCGACCUGCACGAAUGGCAUAAUGAUGGGGGCGCUGUCUCCAGCAGAGACUCAGUGAAAUCGAAUUCGCCGUGAAGAUGCGGUGUACCCG